Lynx canadensis (Canada lynx) is the source of this 92-nucleotide non-coding RNA. The record is from the annotation of a RefSeq genome assembly. NCBI's taxonomy places the organism in Eukaryota, Metazoa, Chordata, Mammalia, Carnivora, Felidae.
GCCUGGGUGGCUCAGUUGGUUGAGCGUCUGACUUCCGCACAGGUGGUGAUCUCUUGGUUCACGGCUCAUGGGUUCGAUCCCCAUGUCAGGCU